CUUCGAAAUUCACUUUGUUCUUGUCUCGCAGUUUCCUUCACAAGAUUGAUCUUAACGUUGCGCGAGACACAUUUUUUUGUAUUUUAUCGCUUUUACAGUUCGGGUUCUAAGUUAUUAUGACCAGUGGACAAUGCUGCGUUCCAAAAAGGAUGUAGAUCGCCACGUGCGAGAUAUUUUGAAUAAAAUCAAGAGCGAGGACGAGAGAAAAGUUCGGGGUUAUAACAUAGCUCGCCUCUACUUCAACAUCAAUGAGUAUGAGAGUGCUCGUCGUUACCUGAGUGAGUUCCUAACAGUGCGCCCCAAAGCAGCAGAUGCUCAUCGAUUAUUAGGCCAAAUCAAUGAAGGUCUUGGAAAUAAAGAAAAAGCAGUACAAUCUUACAAAACCUCCUAUGAGCUAGGUGGUGGCCAAAAGGACCUCAUUUUGAAAAUUUGUGAGUUGUAUACAGAUGUCCAGUGUGACAAUUCAGUACGUCUGUAUUGGGCAGAAGAAGGCCAUAGGCUCUAUCCUCACAAUGAGAGUGUUGUCAAGUUACGUGAGGCCCUUCUCACGGGUUCAGGUGCACACUCACGGGAGGAACUUGAAAAAUUAUACCUAGAUGAAAUUAAGGCUAAUCCAACAGAUGUUAGACUCCAGACCAACCUCCUACAGUUGUAUAAAGACUGGGGAGCUGAAGAUAAAAAUAAGCUCAAUGAAGCCUACAAUUAUGGGUGUCAGGUGGAGGCACGAAAGCCAUUUUCAGAAUCACUGGAAUGGUAUAAAACUCUUUUUGAUAUCAUGCAGGAGUACCGUUCAACCGCUGAUGUUAGCAAGGAAAAAGAAUUCCACAUCAAUUAUUUGUCUGCCCAGGAGCGACUUGUCUACCUCACUUUGGCCUCAAGCAGCAGUACUGCACUCCUGUCCCAGUGCACCCUCACAGAUGCUGCUGCACUCCUACACAAGUUUGAUCAAGAUUUGAAGAUCAGUUUAGAAGUGGUGGAUCAAAAUUCUUCUUUUGGUCAAAUGAUGGUGGGCCAGUUGUACCUGCAUAUGGCUAUAUUCCUUUUACAAAAUGCAAAGAAGGAUGGCCUUACUCACACAAGUACCAGUGCGGGAGCAUUGCUGUUUCAUGCAUGCAGAUUCAGGUCAUCUGAAACUGCCACACAGUCCAAGUCGUGGAGUUCGCGAGAUCAGUUCUGGUACAAAUUAACCUGUCACAGACUAUCUCAGGCUGCUCAUGUCCUGAACCACAUGGCCAAAACUGAAUCUGAAAAGAAUAAGUUUUUAAAUAAAGUGAAACAGCAGUGCAGUAAUAAGCAAGCACAGGAGAACAUCUACCUAACUUUGUUUGGAGCUUCCAAUGCCAACAAGAAAGAGAGUAGCUUUUUCCUCACUGAUGAACAGUUUAUCUCAAAGCCCCUAACAUAUCCUGAAGCCGAGCAAGUAAAAGUCUGGGAUAACGUUGUAGGAACCAUGUACUGCUCAAGUUUGCGUGACAUGGUGUGGUUGUGUCUGCAGCAAGCUCCAUCCAGGUUUAAACAACCUCAGCCCUAUUACACAUAUACGUUGUUUGAAGGUCUCCAGUUUUCCACGACAAAUGUCAACACAGGGGCUCCAGAAACCCUGUGCCAUCUUGAUCUCCUGGCUUUCUUGGCUGCAACUGUGUAUUGCCAAAUUGCAGCUGCAAAAGAAAACAAUGGUCCUCCUCCAGCCUCCAUGCCGACAGUGGUUGCAUCAGUUCUGAAUACUACAGAACAAGCAGAGUGGUGGACCGCUGCCUACACACUGUUUACCAACCGUGCUCACCAUAGGCUUAGUAAACUGCGUAUGAUUUUGCAGCGAGGUCUGGAGGUCAUCAGAGCUGUAGGCAACCAUGGUGUUGACUUGGCUCUUAUGGCACAUUUGGCACAAUGCUUUUCCACCUGGGCAACAGCGGCCAAAGAGGAUGGGAGUACAGCAAGUGAAGUAGAUGCCCUGGAGGACCGGGCAGAGCACUACUGGCAUCGAGUGCUCACACUUUGCCAGAGGGCUGCACGGAAUGUCAUUAAUGUUACACCAAGGAAUAGACUUUUUGUUGUACAAAACAUCUCUCUGAGUGCAGAGGAACGCUCCAAGGUUGAGGAGGAAGGAAAGUACUUCCUAGCCAUGAGACUGGUGCAGGCAGGGAAGCUGCAGGAAGCCAUACAAGCUCUGGGAGAAUUAAAGAGUCCUGAAGCAUCAUUCCAGAGGGCAAUGUUGUAUAAAGAACAAGCCCAAACUAUUACCAGUGAGGGUGGAGUGGAAACCAUGACAGCCGACAUGCGUUCACAACACACCAUUCUGCUGACGCAAGCAAGAGACACACUUUAUCUUACCCUAGACAGAUUGCGAAUGCCAGGUGUAGAUCGUUUUCAUCCCCUCAACACCAAGCUGAGUCAGCAGUUGGAGGAUGUUGAGAGGCGUCUUUCACACAUAAGUGUGGACCAGGAUACCCACAUUCAGCGAGAGGAUGAUACCGAAUCUAUUUCAGAUGCCUCCCAGUCACCCCGACCUGACUUGGCUAAUGGCCAUGUUAUUAAUGCAUCUCAACCUCCACAGAUGUUUAGUACUCCCUAUAGGGAUAACAGAAAUAGUAGCAGAAUAACUAGACAGGAGGCCCGUCCAAGUCCAGAGCGUCUGGAUGCACAAGUGAGAGCUAUCUCAGAGGUUCAAGAAAAUACAUUGCGGAACAUGGAGGACACACUGAGGAAUAUGGAGGAACAGAAUGCAGCGCUGAGAGCCCAGAAUGAAGCUCUUAGAGACACAUGCGCUACAAUGGCACAAGAGGUCAAGGAAAAUGCUUCCUUGUUCCGUAGUAUCUUAGAGCAGAACAAAAGUAUCUCCCAGGAAGCAUAUAAUGCUGUACUUAAUGAAAUGAAACAAGUUCAAAUCAGUAUAAAAGACCUGCAGACUCAAGUUCAUAGCAUAGCAGUCGAUGUUGGAGAAUUGAGAGCCAUGAAAGCAGAUGCAAAGCAUACUGAAGCUGUUGAAGCAAAGGCCAGUGAAGAACAGGUAGCUGCUGCAGCAGUAGUACCAGCUGGCAUAUACAGUGGUUACAUGGGAUACUACAGUCAGCAGCCUGUACCCAGCCCUCUGAUGCCAACUCCAGGGCUCUUUGGCAACCCUCCAUUCUUCCCACCAUCCACUCUCCCUGACCAGACAUACAGCAUGCCAUCAAGUGUUAGCCAGGUGACAGCAGCAUCCAGUCUAAGCCAGACAUCUUCAAUAGUGACCCAAGCUCUUGGCUCCCCUGCUAUUGUCACUGCUAAAGAGCCACUUCCAUCACCCUCUGGAAUCACUGUUGCUCAGAGUCUUGCUACAACAAACUUGGGUAAUGUGAGUUGGAGUGUGGCACAGGGCAUUAGUUCUUCAUCUGGCACCACCAGCAGUGCGCAGAUAAUGCCUCCUGUUACCAGUGCUCCUCAUGCCUUCCAGAUUACAAUGCCAUCUGUGUCUGCAGCUCUGACACCACCACCUGCCUCGGCACCCGAGGAGCAGCUGUCAAUCACCCUUCCAUGCUCCGCUACGGGUCUCCUGGCCAACAUACCCGCCCCCCUGUACUCAGCAGUCACUCCUGACUCGUCCCCCCAACGAGGCCAGUCACAGGUUAAAUCACUGUCACCGUAUUUGUCAACGAGCGGCUUGUCUCCCGCAGCCAACAAUCUGGAUGCUCCAUCUGCCUCGUCUGGUUCACAGGACUGCACAAUCACAUUUUCAGGGACCUUUAAGAGUCCUGGAGGCAUUACUGCAAUAGAAUCACCUACCCCAAAGGCUAAGGAAACAACAGAUGAUGAUAACGAUCGGUAUGUGGAGGACGAUCACGACCCAUGCCCAGAUUUCAAGCCUGUUAUUCCAUUGCCAGAGAAGGUGGAAGUACGCACAGGGGAGGAGGACGAAGAGGUAUUGUUUGAAGAGAGAGCUAAGCUCUUUAGAUUCGUAGAAAAGGAAUGGAGAGAGCGUGGAACAGGUGUUAUGAAGCUUUUGCACAACCCUGCCCAGGGCUCAGUGCGUGUUCUAAUGAGGAGAGACCAGACCCACAAGAUCUGUGCCAACCAUCUUGUCUAUUCUAAUAUAGACUUGCAGCCCAUGAAAGGAAAUGACAAAGUUUGGAUUUGGGCUGCACAGGAUUAUGCUGAUGAAGAAUUACGCAUGGAGAAGUUCUGCUGUAGAUUCAAAACACCUGAGAUAGCUACAAGCUUUAAGGAUGCUUUCAUGAAAGCAAAAGCCAUUACCAAGGAGAAUGAAGAUAAGUUGGAGGCACAGCAGGGCUUUGGAGAGAGAAGCAAAACAGCUUACCAAGGAAUUGCACCAGCAAGCACAGGAAAAUCUCUUGCUGAUAUGUUCAAGCCAGCUGCAGGAUCCUGGAGCUGCUCCGUCUGCCUGGUGAACAACACUGCAGAUAUGACCAAGUGUGCUGCUUGUGAGACUCCCAAUCCCAAUGCUCCCAAGGCUGAGGAACCUGCUGCACCUCAGACACCUUUCGGUUUUAUCCAUUCCCCUACAGCGGCAUUCAAGUUCAAAAGCCCCACAAAUACCCCAGGGUCGUCAGCUGCAUCUCCAGAUAAGCUUGGCAUGGCAUCAACUCCUAACACUUCUACUUCUGCUUCUGCCACAGGAUUUGGCUUCAGAUUUGGCUUGGACAACUCAAAGGCAACUGUCAGCCCACUGGUCAGCUCAGCCCCAGCUUCCUCCAGUGCUGCAUCAACUCCUACCACCAGUGCGGACACAGCCAAGGAUGCUGUUAAGUUCUCUCUUAGUGGUUUCACCUUCACCACCACACCCACUUUGAAGCAGGAUAAGGUGGAAGUCCCAGAGAAGCCUAAAGAGGAGGAGAAGAAAAAGGAAUCAAUAUUUGCAAGCUUCUCCUUUGGGUCCAGUCCCUCUUCAGGCCCAGCAACUUCAAGCUUCAAUUUCAGUGUGCCAACAAAAGACGGCAAGACCGAUGGAAGUCUUGCAGUGUCUAGCCAGUCAUCUGGGGAUGGAGGAUUGUUUAGCAACAAGUCAUCAAGCAACUUGGUAUCCUUCAGCACUUUAGCUGCCAACACUAGUUCUGCAUCAUCAAAUGUGUUUACCAUUAAGGACACUAAAGCUUUUGAGCCAAAGGCUUUGUUCGGAGGUUCACAAGCAAAGUCACCAAGUAAGGAUGAUGGUGACGAUAAAGUAGAAGAAUAUGAACCUCAAGUUGACUUCCAGCCAGUUGUUCCUUUGCCGGACUUAGUUGAGGUUAAGACAGGCGAGGAAGAAGAAGAGAGAUUAUUCUGCGAGCGAGCAAAGCUUUUCCGCUUCGAUAAGGAUACCAAAGAAUGGAAGGAAAGAGGAAUUGGUGAAUUAAAGAUCCUGAAGAACAACACAACUAAAAAGAUUCGUAUUUUGAUGCGGCGUGAGCAGAUCCACAAGGUGUGCGCCAAUCACUUCCUUACACCAGAGAUUAAGCUGACACAAAUGCAAACAUCAGACAAGGCAUGGAUUUGGGCUGCACAUGAUUUUGCAGAUGAGGAAAUGAAAGAAGAGAAGUUUGCUGCCAGAUUUAAGAACCAAGAAUUGGCAUUGAGUUUUAAGGCAGCAUUUGAGAAGGCUCAGAAGUCUUUAGAGUCUCUCCCUUCAGACACCACAUCAAGCUCAGAUGCUGCAUCAACUCAAGCAGCAAAAACUACCACCAAUUCAUUAGCUGCUAUGUUUAAGCCAGCAGCGGGAUCCUGGGAGUGUGAUACCUGCUUGGUGCGAAACAAAGCUGAAGAUAAUGUUUGUGUUUCAUGUUCGAGUAACAAACCAGGCUAUGAACCAUCAAAAGAGAGCACACUCCAAACACCCCAAUUUAGUUUUGGGAUUCCAUCUUCAACAACUGCAACAAAAGAAUCAGCAAAGAAUGAGGAAAAACCUAACAUUAACUCUUUAGCAAGCAUGUUUAAACCAGCAGUUGGUUCGUGGGAGUGUAAUAGUUGUUUGGUGCGUAACAAAGCAAGUGAUUCCGUAUGUGUUGCAUGUAGUGCUGGUAAGGAUGGUAUUGCUCCCAGUGCAGAUUCUUCUACUGGUGAUACACCAGCUUUCAGUUUUGGCAUCAAGAGUGACAUGUCUUCAACCACGAGUGGAUUUAGCUUUGGUGUAGCAGAAAACAAGACAGCAUUCUCAUAUGGUAUUCCUGCCACAAACCAGAGUGUGACCUCCACAACCUCUCAGCCAGCAUUUUCUUUUGGCACCAGUGCAAAACCUGCACAAGACAACACAGAUAGUAAGCCUGCCUUUUCAUUUGGAAUUCCAGGCAGCAUAACAAUAAAACCUGUGCAAGAUUCUACUGUUGCAACAGAGAGUAAACCUGCCUUCUCCUUUGGAAAACCUGGAGAGCAAACCAGCAAGACAUUCAGCUUCUCUUGGUCAACAACAACCCCAGCCAGCAUUGGGUCAGCCUCUACAGCAGGCACUUCAGCCUUCUCUUCAUCAACCUUUUCACAGUCUAAACCAGCAGGGUCACAAGAACAACCCUCAACACCAACCAAAGAGGAAAAUUCUGGAUUUGUCUUUGGUAGCCCUGGAAAAUAUGAGUUCUCAUUCACUGGAGUAAAAGCUCGAUCUCCCAGGUCAAGGGAUAUCAGUCAGUGUGAAUCAGAAGAUGGUCUAGUGGAAGAGGAUGAAGGAGACCAUCUUUAUUUUGAGCCUGUGAUACCACUGCCUGACAAAGUUGAUGUAGUCACUGGAGAAGAGGAGGAAUCUUGUCUUUACUCUCAUCGGUGCAAGCUCUUCCGUUUAGUCAGUGGAGAAUGGAAGGAACGAGGUAUAGGAGACGUCAAAAUCCUAUGCCAUAAGAAGAAUGGUAAAAUCAGGUUACUGAUGAGGAGAGAGCAGGUUCACAAAAUCUGCAUGAACCACUACCUGGAGAAUGACACGGAAUUCCGCAAGAAGGAUGAUAAGACCUUCUUCUGGGCAACAGUUGAUUACACUGAAAGUGAAGCACAAAAGGAAACUUUUGCUAUCCGUUUCAAGACACCAGAGAUUGCAGCUGAAUUUUAUAAGGCAGUGGAUAGUGCUAAGGUUCAGUUAGGGGGAACUCCAACAGAAUGUCCGGUGACAAUAUCAAGUCCUGUAAAAUCAGAAGAAACAAAGAAAGAAAAAUCACCUGAAACGCCUCAGAGUAAGAACACACCAACACCAGCUUCUGUAAAAGCUGAAGCAGAUACUACAUCAGAGGAAGUCACAAGCAAGCCAAACAACUCUAUCUUUGGAGGAACACCUAGCAAGACAGUGUUUGAAGAAACAAAAGGCUCUGUAUUUGGGGUUGGCACUGAACCGUCUUUCGUCACUAAUGUGUCAGCUACCUUCACGUUAAGAAGUCCUGAUCAGCAGGGAAUGUUGAAUGCAGCUGGCAGGCCAUCUGUGUUUGGAGCAGCAACUACAAUGUCUACAACUCCUAGAAGCACCUUCAGCUUUGGAGACAAGUUCUCCUUAAACCCUGAGGCUGAUGCAGACUGUGAGGUGGUCUACAUUAAGAGCAGUAAUGAGGAGGAGAAAUGCCAUGCCAAGGCACUAAUGCUCCCUGAGAAUUUCUAUAGUUACAAUGAGCAUCCAAGCUGUCCAGGCUGUGUUGGCUGUGAGGCAGAUGAUGAUGAUGAUGAUAACAGUGAAGAUGUGGUGGAGGUAGUUUUUGAAAGGAAAGCUACACCUGAGCAAGUACAGAAAGCUAGAACACUGCAGCUGCCUGACAAUUUCUAUUUGUAUGAAAAUGCCCCUACUUGCCCAGGCUGCCGGGGCUGCUGUGAAGAGGAUGAAGAAACAGCAGACAAAGUGGAGCAAACGGUAUCAUCUGCAUCUACUCCAGCAAACACUGCUUCCACAUCAUCCAUGUUUGUUGGAACAAAUGCAGGGCCUUUCACAAAUGCAGUUUUUGGAAAAGCUCAACCAAAGUCUCCAAGCAUUUUCGAGACCCCAAAACUCUUCGGGGGUAGUACUGGAGGAUCUAGUCUUUUUGGGGGUGCUGCGAACUCCCCAAGUGUGUUUGGAGGCUCCACGGCUACAAGUGCUCCCAGUGUGUUUGGAGGCUCCACAGCCACAAAUGCCCCUAGUGUGUUUGGAGGCUCCACGGCUACAAAUUCUCCCAGUCUGUUUGGAGGAUCCUCGGCUACAAAUUCUCCCAGUCUGUUUGGAGCCUCUUCAACUACAAAUUCUCCCAGUGUAUUUGGUGGUUCUGCUGCCAGCAGUUCACCCAGUACAUUUGGUAGUUCUAGUGUCACUAGUGGGAGUAUAUUUGGAGGUGGUGGUGGUAGUGUAUUUGGUGGGUCUGCUGGUUCAGCAGGUGGACUCUUUGGCAAUGCCAAGACCUCAGGAUCACCAAGCAUAUUUGGUAAUGUUGCUGUAUCAUCAACGGAAAGUACUACAUCAAGCACCACCUCAAAAGCAUCAACAGAAGGGGGAUUGUUUUCCACUAUCAACAGUGGAAGCAUGUUAUCAUUUGGAGACCUAGCCUCACAAUCUAAUGAAAGUGGAUUUGGUCAGAAAAGCACAGCAGCAGUAGAUGCAAUUUGGGCUGCCAAAGAACAACCAGUAUUUGGGAAAACUAUAAAGAAGACUGGGGAUGAUGAUGAUGAUGUAGUUGAAAAUGAUCAUGAUCCCCACUUUGAACCUGUAGUACCUUUACCUGAUUUGGUUGAAGUGAAAACUGGAGAGGAGGAACUAGAAGUAAUAUUUAGCAACCGUGGCAAGCUGUAUCGCUAUGAUGGUGGUUCCAAACAGUGGAAAGAGAGAGGCAUUGGAGACUUCAAAAUCCUGCGUGACCCAGCUUCAAAUAAAUUCCGCUUACUACAAAGGAGAGAACAGGUCCACAAAUUGUGUUGCAACCACUACCUAACUACUCAGCUUCAAUUGCGACCAAUGGAGACUUCAGAAACAGCCUGGUGCUGGUAUGCCAAGGAUUAUUCAGAGACCAUAGAAGGCACAGACGAGAAGUUGGCAAUCAGAUUUAAGACAAGUGAGAUGGCUGCAGAAUUCAAGAAGAAGUUUGAAGAAAGCCAAGAGAUACUAAGGAAAAAUGAAGAUGCUGCUGCAGGUAGCACAAACACAUCUGCCACAUUUGUCCUUCCACAUCCCAGCAGUUCUGUUCAAAAAGAUGAAGAUGCAGAUGAAGAUGAUGAGGAAGAUGAUGACGAGGAUGAUGAGGAAGAUGAUGAUGACGACGAUGACGAUGAUGAUGACGACGAUGAAGAUGAUGAUGAUGAAGAGGAAGAGGACGAUGAGGAGGAGGAUGAUGAUGAGGAUGGAGAUGAUAAUGUAGUGAUUUUUACCAAGAGAUGCACCUUGUCUAAAAAAGAAAAUGGUAGUUGGACGGUAAGCACAUGAAAUAUACAUGUUGAGAGGAUCAUAGACAGUGAUUAUCAACACAGCACCAACUGCACUUGGUGCUGGGGAUCUUCACAUCCAGUACGAUGAUGACUUCUUUGGGGCGAGGAUCAUCAUGACGUCAGAGUCUGGAGAUACCCUUGCAGAACAUAUUAUAGCUAUUCAAACUACAGUGCACAAAGAGGGCAAUUC
This 9511-nucleotide unclassified non-coding RNA is filed under the name Penaeus japonicus. RNAcentral's name for it is "e3 SUMO-protein ligase RanBP2-like, transcript variant X1". The record is from RNAcentral. Lineage: Eukaryota; Metazoa; Arthropoda; Malacostraca; Decapoda; Penaeidae.